Molecule: transfer RNA, 84 nt
Filed under: archaeon
Lineage: Archaea
Description: tRNA-Leu
Rfam family: tRNA
About the family: Transfer RNA (tRNA) molecules are approximately 80 nucleotides in length. Their secondary structure includes four short double-helical elements and three loops (D, anti-codon, and T loops).
Source: RNAcentral
GGGGAGAUGCCGGAGCGGUCAAACGGGCUGGGUUUAGGACCCAGUAGCAUCUUGCUUACGGGGGUUCGAAUCCUCCUCUCCCCA